GGAGUACUCACAACUGACUGUUGGUAGUGAAGAGGCAACACAACAAGUUGCAGAUGUUCAGCUGAUCACAAGCACAAGUGGAAGAUAUGCAGAUUGGGACAUCCACAUGAGCCUUAAUGCUACCUCAACAAGUGAGCUGCCUUCUGAGCUUGAUGCAUAUUUAGCUAAGCCUACCAUUCCUCAUAGUGGCCAUUUUGAUGUUCUUGCUUGGUGGAGGAGCAACUCUCUUGAGUAUCCAAUUCUGUCCCGUAUGGCUAGAGAUAUUCUAGUGGUGCCUGCUUCAUCGGUCGCAUCAGAAUCAGCAUUCAGCAUUGGAAAGAGAGUGAUAUCUGAUGACAGAAGUCGAUUAGCUCCUGAAACGGUUGAAGCACUAGUGUGCUGUCAAGAUUGGAUUCGAGCUUCUAGUUCAUCAAUAUUUCGGAUGGAAAGUAUCCAUGAUUUCAUUGAGCAACUUGAUCAACAUGAAUGAAGUUUCGAAAGGUGAAAACUGGAGUUUGGCAUAUCCUGGAGUCUGGCAUAUCAUGAAGGAAGCAGCAUAGCUGAAUGUUCCUGUAUCACUGAAUGACCAAAGCUGAAUGUUGAAUGUUCACUCGUGGGGCAAUUUGCUGAAUGCUGAAUGUUCACUCGUGGGGCAAUUUUUUGUCAGUCACUUCAGUUGCUUCCAAAACUGAAUGCUUUUAUGAAGAUAUUAUCUGAAUAUUUUUUCUGUAAUGAAAAUCUAUAUGGAUGGUGCUAUUGAAUAUUUUUUCUGUAUAUGGCACCCUACAUGGUAAGCACUGGCUGUGAAAAUAUAUGGCAUAUAUGGCUUGCAUCAUCCUGAAUGCUUUA
This is a long non-coding RNA of Panicum virgatum (switchgrass), 828 nucleotides long. RefSeq lists it as uncharacterized. The record is from RefSeq and is a predicted model, not a curated record. The transcript has 3 exons. NCBI's taxonomy places the organism in Eukaryota, Viridiplantae, Streptophyta, Magnoliopsida, Poales, Poaceae.